AAGAACUUCAGAAGCAAUUGGAAGUUGCGGAGAAAGAAUUAAAUCAAGUUCAAGAGUUGUAUAGCCAAGCAACAGAUAAUUGUUUGAACUUGAAGAAAUCGGAUAUCAGUUAGUUGUUUGCUGGCAUAGCUCGGAGAAGAAUCACAAAUAUGAGCUUAUCUCAUCUCGACUCCAACCAUAACCUGCAAAAAUUAAACCAAUUCACAUUGGUCACUAUCAAAACCACACAUUUAACAAGUCAGAGUUCAAACACAUCAAAUCCAUUUUUCAUAAACCUGCAAACAUUAACACACUGAACCAAGUCUAGACCAAAAUGGACAUCUGCACAAUACACAAGCCUGCUGCAAAACGAAGGAA
RNAcentral lists this long non-coding RNA (357 nucleotides) under Lathyrus oleraceus (garden pea). RNAcentral describes it as "Pisum sativum (pea) long non-coding RNA (PSAT_LNC019899)". Lineage: Eukaryota; Viridiplantae; Streptophyta; Magnoliopsida; Fabales; Fabaceae. The record is from RNAcentral.